CCUACGGGUGGCUGCAGUGGGGAAUAUUGCACAAUGGGGGAAACCCUGAUGCAGCGACGCCGCGUGAGUGAAGAAGUAAUUAGUUAUGUAAAGCUCUAUCAGUCGGGAAGAAAAUGACGGUACCUGAGUAACAAGCCGCGGCUAACUACGUGCCAGUAGCCGCGGUAAAACGUCGGGGGCAAGCGUUAUCCGGAUUUACUGGGUGUAAAGGGAGCGUAGACGGCAGUGCAAGUCUGGAGUGAAAGGUGGGGGCUCAACCCCCGUACUGCUGUGGAAACUGUACGGCUGGAGUGCAGGAGAGGUAAGUGGAAUUCCUGGUGUAGCGGUGAAAUGCGUAGAUAUUAGGAGGAACACCAGUGGCGAAGGCGGCUUACUGGACUGUAACUGACGUUGAGGCUCGAAAGCGUGGGGAGCAAACAGGAUUAGAUACCCCUGUAGUC
RNAcentral lists this ribosomal RNA (440 nucleotides) under uncultured bacterium. Its description in RNAcentral is "partial 16S ribosomal RNA". It matches the Rfam family "Bacterial small subunit ribosomal RNA", at positions 338 to 795 of the family's 1533-position model. The record is from RNAcentral.